GACGAACGCUGGCGGCGUGCUUAACACAUGCAAGUCGAACGGAAAGGCCCUGCUUUUGUGGGGUGCUCGAGUGGCGAACGGGUGAGUAACACGUGAGUAACCUGCCCUUGACUUUGGGAUAACUUCAGGAAACUGGGGCUAAUACCGGAUAGGAGCUCCUGCUGCAUGGUGGGGGUUGGAAAGUUUCGGCGGUUGGGGAUGGACUCGCGGCUUAUCAGCUUGUUGGUGGGGUAGUGGCUUACCAAGGCCUUGACGGGUAGCCGGCCUGAGAGGGUGACCGGCCACAUUGGGACUGAGAUACGGCCCAGACUCCUACGGGAGGCAGCAGUGGGGAAUAUUGCACAAUGGGCGGAAGCCUGAUGCAGCAACGCCGCGUGCGGGAUGACGGCCUUCGGGUUGUAAACCGCUUUCGCCUGUGACGAAGCAUGAGUGACGGUAAUGGGUAAAGAAGCACCGGCUAACUACGUG
This 468-nucleotide ribosomal RNA is filed under the name uncultured bacterium. Its description in RNAcentral is "partial 16S ribosomal RNA". It matches the Rfam family "Bacterial small subunit ribosomal RNA", at positions 28 to 507 of the family's 1533-position model. The record is from RNAcentral.